UACGAAGGGGGCUAGCGUUGCUCGGAAUCACUGGGCGUAAAGGGUGCGUAGGCGGGUCUUUAAGUCAGGGGUGAAAUCCUGGAGCUCAACUCCAGAACUGCCUUUGAUACUGAGGAUCUUGAGUUCGGGAGAGGUGAGUGGAACUGCGAGUGUAGAGGUGAAAUUCGUAGAUAUUCGCAAGAACACCAGUGGCGAAGGCGCUCACUGGCUCGUUUCUGACGCUCAGGCGCGAUAGCGUGGGGAUCAAACAGG
This 252-nucleotide ribosomal RNA is filed under the name uncultured bacterium. Its description in RNAcentral is "partial 16S ribosomal RNA". It matches the Rfam family "Bacterial small subunit ribosomal RNA", at positions 524 to 776 of the family's 1533-position model. The record is from RNAcentral.